GCCGCCUGCGGGCGGCACGGAAGCCGCGGCUGUCGGGGCCGCGGCGGCGGCAGGGGAGGCCGCUUCCGCCUUCGGCACGGCGGCGGGCGCUGCC
This 94-nucleotide transfer RNA is filed under the name Syntrophaceae bacterium PtaB.Bin038. RNAcentral describes it as "tRNA-Arg". The record is from RNAcentral. Lineage: Bacteria; Pseudomonadati; Thermodesulfobacteriota; Syntrophia; Syntrophales; Syntrophaceae.